GACGUAGGUGGCGAACGUUAUCCGGAAUUAUUGGGCGUAAAGGGUGCGUAGGUGGCUUGAAAAGUUAUCAGUGGCAAAUCGAGGCUUAACCUCGCGGAAACUGGUAAUACAGUUUGGCUCGAGUGCAGGAGAGGUUAACGGAACUCUAUGUGGAGCGGUAAAAUGCACAGAUAUAUAGAAGAACACCAAUAACGGCGAAGGCAGUUAACUAUUCUGUUACUGACACUGAGGCACGAAAGCGUGGGGAGCAAAACGG
This 256-nucleotide ribosomal RNA is filed under the name uncultured bacterium. RNAcentral's name for it is "partial 16S ribosomal RNA". It matches the Rfam family "Bacterial small subunit ribosomal RNA", at positions 524 to 776 of the family's 1533-position model. The record is from RNAcentral.